AUUUUUUUUAAUGUUUGGGCGAGAAGCCAGGUAUCCCACUGAAGUGCCUGAAGAUUUCAUGGUCGGUAUACAUGUCUCAAUAUGAAUCACUCUUAAAGAUCCACCUUUUUUUCUGGCCUUCAUUUCACCCUGACACCCUGACCUCUUAUCUUCAUCUUUUAGUAUAGCUUUUAUUUGUUUUACUUUAUCUUAGUAACUGUUCUUAUUGCCCUAUCGCAUUGUUUAUCUAUGUUGAUGAUUUAUGUUGUUUUUAUCUAUAUUGCUAGCACUUGUAUGUUGUGCAGCACUUUGGGCAACUAAGGUUGUUUUUAAAUGUGCUAUAUACUGUAAAUACAUUUUGAGUUGAUUUGAGAUUGAUGAAGUGUUGAAAAUAUGGACUGAAAGAGUGUAAAACAUGUGUUCACAGGUGGACAGCAGUGUUGAGGAUGUUGUUGGUGAGGAGGCUGUGUCAGAGGACAUAAAGCGCCUUGACCUCAUAAAAGACAUUCUCCACGAAAACAUUAUGAAACAGCAGGAGAGCACAAAGAGGCGCAUGAAGGAGGGUGCUGCCAAACCUGCAUUGAAAGUGGGAGACAAAGUAUGGAGACAGAAUGUCAGGAGUCAGCAAAGGAAAGGUGGCAAGCUGGAGCCAAAUUUCCUUGGCCCUUUCACUCUGGUGGCACUGCAAGGCAAAAGUGCUGAUCUGGUGGCAGAAGAUGGUAGGGUUUUUAAAAGUAUAAAUGUUGACCAUUUAAAAAUUGCCAAAGUGAAGCUGCCCCAAAUCCCUAGAAAAAUGGCCACAGCAGCUGCAGCCUCCACAGCACCACCAGCCGCGCCAGCAGCAGCGCCAGUACCACCGGCAGCGCCACCAGCAGCGCCACCAGCAGUGCCAACAGCACCACCACCAGCAGCGCCAUCAGCAGCGCCACCAGCACCACCACCAGCACUGCCACCAGCAGCGCCACCAGCACUGCCACCAGCAGCGCCACCAGCACUGCCACCAGCAGCGCCACCAGCACCACCACCACCAGCAGCACCACCAGCAGCGCCACCACCAGCGCCACCAGCAGUGCCAACAGCACCACCACCAGCAGCGCCACCAGCACCACCACCACCAGCAGCGCCACCAGCAGCGCCACCAGCACCACCACCAGCAGCGCCAGUACCACCACCAGCAGCGCCAGUACCACCAGCACCACCACCAGCACCGCCACCAGCAGCGCCACCAGCAGCGCCACCAGCAGCGCCGGCAGCGGCACCGGCAGCAUCGGCCUCCAU
RNAcentral lists this long non-coding RNA (1257 nucleotides) under Gadus morhua (Atlantic cod). RNAcentral's name for it is "lncRNA (ENSGMOG00000036341.1)". Lineage: Eukaryota; Metazoa; Chordata; Actinopteri; Gadiformes; Gadidae. The record is from RNAcentral.